CCUACGGGUGGCAGCAGUGAGGAAUAUUGGUCAAUGGGCGCAAGCCUGAACCAGCCAAGUCGCGUGAAGGAUGACUGCUCUACGGUUUGUAAACUUCUUUUAUAGAGGAAUAAAGUGAGGCACGUGUGCCUUUUUGCAUGUACUUUAUGAAUAAGCAUCGGCUAACUCCGUGCCAGCAGCCGCGGUAAUACGGAGGAUGCGAGCGUUAUCCGGAUUUAUUGGGUUUAAAGGGAGCGUAGGUGGGUUGUUAAGUCAGUUGUGAAAGUUUGCGGCUCAACCGUAAAAUUGCAGUUGAUACUGGCAGUCUUGAGUGCAGUUGAGGUAGGCGGAAUGCGUGGUGUAGCGGUGAAAUGCUUAGAUAUCACGAAGAACGCCGAUUGCGAAGGCAGCUUACUAAGC
Molecule: ribosomal RNA, 399 nt
Filed under: uncultured bacterium
Lineage: Bacteria
Description: partial 16S ribosomal RNA
Rfam family: Bacterial small subunit ribosomal RNA
Source: RNAcentral